RNAcentral lists this ribosomal RNA (1410 nucleotides) under metagenome. RNAcentral's name for it is "eukaryotic LSU rRNA". It matches the Rfam family "Eukaryotic large subunit ribosomal RNA", at positions 1819 to 3294 of the family's 3401-position model. The record is from RNAcentral.
GAGAUUAUCUCAUCACACCAGGUCGUACCCAUAACCGCAUCAGGUCUCCAAGGUUAGCAGCCUCUGGUCGAUAGAAUAACGUAGAUAAGGGAAUUCGGCAAAUUAGAUCCGUAACUUCGGGAAAAGGAUUGGCUCUGAGGGUUGAGUGUGGUGCCAAUGAAAUGGAACUAGGAUCUGUACUGGUGUUGGUCGCAAGAUCGAAACCGGCAUGGAGAGAAGGAAAAUUUUUGCGGCUAGCACAAUUAACAACCGACUCAGAACUGAAGCGGACAAGGGGAAUCCGACUGUUUAAUAAAAACAUAGCUUUGUGAUGGCCUCAAAAGGUGUUGACACAAAGUGAUUUCUGCCCAGUGCUUUGAAUGUGAAUAUGAAGUAAUUUAUAGAAGCUCAGGUAAACGGGCGGGAGUAACUAUGACUCUCUUAAGGUAGCCAAAUGCCUCGUCAUCUAAUUAGUGACGCGCAUGAAUGGAUUAAUGAGAUUCCCACUGUCCCUAUCUACCAUCUAGCGAACCCAUAGCCAAGGGAACGAGCUUGGAAUAAUCAGCGGGGAAAGAAGACCCUGUUGAGCUUGACUCUAGUCCGACUUUGUGAAAUGACUUUCGAGAUAUAGCCUAAGUGGGAGCUAACGCGCCGCUGUAAAACCACUGCUCGCUUAGCCAUUUUACUUACUCCAUGAAGAAGUGGCCGAUUUUUCGGUUCUUAGAUUUAAGCCCUGACUCGUAUCAGGGCAAGCUUUGUGGAGGACACAGUCAGGUGGGGAGUUUGACUGGGGCGGUACAUCUGUUAAAACGUAACGCAGGUGUCCUACAGUGAGCUCAAAGAGAACAGAAAUCUCUUGUAGACCAAAAGGGGAAAAGCUCACUUGAUUUUGAUUUUCAGUACUAAUACAAACCGCGAAAGCGUGGCCUAUCGAUCCUUUAACUUUACAAGUUUUAAGCUAGAGGUGUCAGAAAAGUUACCACAGGGAUAACUGGCUUGUGGCAGCCAAGCGCCCAUAGCGACGUUGCUUUUUGAUCCUUCGAUGUAGGCUCUUCCUAUCAUUGUGAUGUACAAGUCACAACGUGUUGGACUGUUCACCCGUUAAUAGGGAACGUGAGCUGGGUUUAGACCGUCGUGAGACAGGUUAGUUUUACCCUACUGAUGAAUCGAUGUUGCGACAGUAAUCUUACUUAGUACGAGAGGAACCGUUAGAUCAGAUAAUUGGUUAAUACGGUUAGCUGAAAAGCUAAUGCCGUGAAGCUACCAUCUGUUGGAUUAUGACUGAAAGCCUCUAAGUCAGAAACCAUGCUGGAAAGCAACGUCCAAUCAAUAAUAAAUGAAAAAGAAUAAGGGAAACCUUUAGUUCAGUAUGGGGACGGUCAAACUCGAAAGAGUAUAGCCAAACCCAGAAUAAAUUUUAAUUAUUAUUGU